This 1234-nucleotide ribosomal RNA is filed under the name metagenome. RNAcentral describes it as "bacterial LSU rRNA". It matches the Rfam family "Bacterial large subunit ribosomal RNA", at positions 1564 to 2808 of the family's 2925-position model. The record is from RNAcentral.
UGAAUACGAGAUGCUACGGCAUCGAAGCAGUCUAUGUCAUACUUCCAAGAAAAGCUUGCACUGUCAUAAACAAAUAAUGCCUGUACCAUAACCGACACAGGUGGGUAGGUAGAGUAUACUAAGGGGCGCGAGAUAACUCUCUCUAAGGAACUCGGCAAAAUGACUCCGAACUUCGGGAGAAGGAGUGCCUUAUUUUAUAAGGUUGCAAUAACAAGAUCCAAGCAACUGUUUACCAAAAACACAGGUCUCCGCUAAGUCGUAAGACGAUGUAUGGGGGCUGACGCCUGCCCAGUGCCAGAAGGUUAAAGAAGUUGGUUAGCAUUAGCGAAGCUGAUAACUGAAGCCCUGGUGAACGGCGGCCGUAACAAUAACGGUCCUAAGGUAGCGAAAUUCCUUGUCGGGUAAGUUCCGACCCGCACGAAAGGCGUAAUGAUUUGGAUACUGUCUCGGAGAGGGGCUCGGUGAAAUAGACUUGUCUGUGAAGAUGCGGACUACCUGCACCAGGACAGAAAGACCCUAUGAAGCUUUACUGUAACUUGAGAUUGAAAUUGGACUUUAUUUGCGCAGUAUAGGUGGGAGACGUUGAAAAUAUUCUUGCGGGAAUAUUGGAGUCAUCAGUGAGAUACCACUCUUAUAAUGUUAGAUUUCUAACUUUGUAUCAUUAUCUGGUCAAAGAACAGUCUCAGGCGGGCAGUUUGACUGGGGCGGUCGCCUCCCAAACGGUAACGGAGGCGCACAAAGGUUUCCUCUGAACGUGUAGAAAUCGUAUCUAGAGUGUAAAGGCAUAAGGAAGCUCGACUGUGAGACCUACAAGUCGAGCAGGGACGAAAGUCGGUCUUAGUGAUCUGACGGUGCUGAGUGGAAAGGCCGUCACUCAACGGAUAAAAGUUACUCUAGGAUAACAGGCUGAUCUCCCCCAAGAGUUCACAUCGACGGGGAGGUUUGGCACCUCGAUGUCGGCUCAUCGCAUCCUGGGGCGGUAGUACGUCCCAAGGGUUGGGCUGUUCGCCCAUGAAAGCGGUACGCGAGCUGGGUUCAGAACGUCGUGAGACAGUUCGGUCCAUAUCCGGUGUAGGCGUUAGAAUAUUGAGAGGAGCCUUCUUUAGUACGAGAGGACCGAGAAGGACAUACCUCUGGUGUACCAGUUAUCGUGCCAACGGUAGACGCUGGGUAGCUAUGUAUGGAGAGGAUAACCGCUGAAAGCAUCUAAGUGGGAAGCCCACCUCAAGAUAAG